This 375-nucleotide ribosomal RNA is filed under the name Triticum aestivum (bread wheat). RNAcentral's name for it is "partial small subunit ribosomal RNA". The record is from RNAcentral. Lineage: Eukaryota; Viridiplantae; Streptophyta; Magnoliopsida; Poales; Poaceae.
AUGGAUAAUAUUAGGGAAAGCAUCAAGUUUGUUAGAAGCUCCCCCACUCGGAAACAGAAAUUUAAGGAAAUAGUUGCACAAGAAGGCAUUGCUUGCAAAAAGAGCCUAUCUCUGGACGUCCUUACACGGUGGAAUUCAACGCAUUUGAUGAUCAAAAUAGCCCUGGAGUAUAGGAGAGCAUUCGCCGCUAUGAAGUUGCAGGACACCACAUUUACAUGUCAACCCACAAAUGUUGAAUGGGAAACGGCAGAAUCUGUUUGCAGCUUGUUAGAGGUUUUCCUCGAUGCAACUAUGGUGGUGUCCGGUACAUUAUAUCCAACAUCUCAUUUGUAUUUCCACGAAUUUUGGAAAUUUCAUCUAAUAUUGCAAAGAUAG